GCGGAGGAAAAGAAACCAACAGGGAUUGCCCUAGUAACGGCGAGUGAAGCGGCAACAGCUCAAAUUUGAAAUCUGGCUUCGGCCCGAGUUGUAAUUUGCAGAGGAAGCUUUAGGCGCGGCACCUCCUGAGUCCCCUGGAACGGGGCGCCACAGAGGGUGAGAGCCCCGUAUAGUUGGAUGCCUAGCCUGUGUAAAGCUCCUUCGACGAGUCGAGUAGUUUGGGAAUGCUGCUCAAAAUGGGAGGUAAAUUUCUUCUAAAGCUAAAUACCGGCCAGAGACCGAUAGCGCACAAGUAGAGUGAUCGAAAGAUGAAAAGCACUUUGAAAAGAGGGUUAAAUAGCACGUGAAAUUGUUGAAAGGGAAGCGCUUGUGACCAGACUUGCGCCGGGCUGAUCAUCCGGUGUUCUCACCGGUGCACUCUGCCCGGCUCAGGCCAGCAUCGGUUCUCGCGGGGGGAUAAAGGCCCUGGGAACGUAGCUCCUCCGGGAGUGUUAUAGCCCGGGGCGCAAUGCCCUCGCGGGGACCGAGGUUCGCGCUCUGCAAGGAUGCUGGCGUAAUGGUCAUCAGCGACCCGUCUUGAAACACGGACCAAGGAGUCAAGGUUUUGCGCGAGUGUUUGGGUGUAAAACCCGCACGCGUAAUGAAAGUGAACGUAGGUGAGAGCUUCGGCGCAUCAUCGACCGAUCCUGAUGUUCUCGGAUGGAUUUGAGUAGGAGCGUUAAGCCUUGGACCCGAAAGAUGGUGAACUAUGCUUGGAUAGGGUGAAGCCAGAGGAAACUCUGGUGGAGGCUCGCAGCGGUUCUGACGUGCAAAUCGAUCGUCAAAUCUGAGCAUGGGGGCGAAAGACUAAUCGAACCAUCUAGUAGCUGGUUACCGCCGA
RNAcentral lists this ribosomal RNA (880 nucleotides) under Acrophialophora levis. Its description in RNAcentral is "eukaryotic LSU rRNA". It matches the Rfam family "Eukaryotic large subunit ribosomal RNA", at positions 50 to 964 of the family's 3401-position model. The record is from RNAcentral. Lineage: Eukaryota; Fungi; Ascomycota; Sordariomycetes; Sordariales; Chaetomiaceae.